GUGGGCGUAGCUCAGUCGGUAGAGCACCGGAUUGUGGCUCCGGAGGUCGCGGGUUCAAUCCCCGUCGCUCACCCCA
This 76-nucleotide transfer RNA is filed under the name Gammaproteobacteria bacterium. RNAcentral's name for it is "tRNA-His". It matches the Rfam family "tRNA". Rfam says of the family: Transfer RNA (tRNA) molecules are approximately 80 nucleotides in length. Their secondary structure includes four short double-helical elements and three loops (D, anti-codon, and T loops). RNAcentral also lists the same sequence under 1 other name. The record is from RNAcentral. Lineage: Bacteria; Pseudomonadati; Pseudomonadota; Gammaproteobacteria.